RNAcentral lists this ribosomal RNA (462 nucleotides) under uncultured bacterium. RNAcentral's name for it is "partial 16S ribosomal RNA". It matches the Rfam family "Bacterial small subunit ribosomal RNA", at positions 28 to 507 of the family's 1533-position model. The record is from RNAcentral.
GACGAACGCUGGCGGCGUGCUUAACACAUGCAAGUCGAGCGGAAAGGCCCUUCGAGGUACUCGAGCGGCAAACGGGUGAGUAACACGUGAGUAGCCUGCCCCAGACUUUGGGAUAACCCUCGGAAACGGGGGCUAAUACCGGAUACGACACAGCUUCGCAUGGGGUCUGUGUGGAAAGUUUUUCGGUUUGGGAUGGGCUCGCGGCCUAUCAGCUUGUUGGUGGGGUGAUGGCCUACCAAGGCGACGACGGGUAGCCGGCCUGAGAGGGCGACCGGCCACACUGGGACUGAGACACGGCCCAGACUCCUACGGGAGGCAGCAGUGGGGAAUAUUGCACAAUGGGCGGAAGCCUGAUGCAGCGACGCCGCGUGAGGGAUGACGGCCUUCGGGUUGUAAACCUCUUUCAGCAGGGACGAAGCGUAAGUGACGGUACCUGCAGAAGAAGCGCCGGCCAACUACGUG